UGUCAACCUGCUUGGCCAACUGGAGGCUAC
RNAcentral lists this non-coding RNA (30 nucleotides) under Rattus norvegicus (Norway rat). Lineage: Eukaryota; Metazoa; Chordata; Mammalia; Rodentia; Muridae. The record is from RNAcentral.